This is a non-coding RNA of Sus scrofa (pig), 1359 nucleotides long. The record is from RefSeq and is a predicted model, not a curated record. Lineage: Eukaryota; Metazoa; Chordata; Mammalia; Artiodactyla; Suidae.
CCUGCCAUCACCCACCCACAAAGCCCCUCGCCGGGAAGCGAAGGCACCCAUUUCGCGCCAGACUUCCCAACCGCCCCAGGGCGACUGGGGACAAUGACUUUUUUUUUUUUUUGGAUUCCACUAGUUCCAAGCGUUGCUAGUUAACCCUAUCUCAGGACAGGUUUCAAACGACAGAAUUUUUUUCACUUCGGGACCAAAAGCAUAAAUAAGUGUGAGGUUUUUAGGGGACGCUUUUUCCUUGGCGCGUCAGCGACAUGGGACCAGAUGCCAGGAAUCUGCCUCGCUAUGUUCCUGCAGGAGGUUCGAACUUGACCGACUGGGUCAUUAAGUUCCGUCAGCACGCAAGGCGCGCAGUUUUCGUUUCCGACUUGUAGCGACUCUUUGAGUCUCCUGAGCUGCCCUCUGAAGGGGGUCAGGCCUGCUCUGGCUGCAUUAUGUCACGCUGGCCUCCUGGUCGGGAAAUGGAAGUGGGGAAGGCAGAAAACAGUAAAAGACCCUUAUUCCAGGAGUGUCUGAUGUGGCUUCAUGGACUCUGUGGUGUCUCUGUAACGCUGGGAUACAGGUUGGAUCCCUGGCCGGGCACCGUGGGUUAAGGAUCUGAUCCAGAGCCCUGGAACUCCAUCAACCACAGAGCAGCCAAAAAAGAAAAAAAGAAAACCCUUGUCGCACUUGUUUUGCAGAUGAAGCCUGGGUUUCUGUUAUACGAUAGCCCCCACCCUUGCCCUGUAAGCCCGGCAAAGACAUUCCUGAUGGAAGCCUCACUCUGCUCACACCCACGUGUGUCCCAGGGCAGACGGGCACCCCGGGAGUUGCUGUCAUUUCUUGGUUCCAGCUCAGUCAGCACAGCCUUUGGAGAAGACAUGUUUUUAUUCCACCUCUGAAAGGAGAAAGGUAGACCUUCUCUUCUGCUCACGAGUCUCUCAUCAUCUUGCCUCAAGAGGAAUCUGGGUCUAAAUUGCAGCACGGGACGCACAGCUCAAAGUCGGAGACAUUCAGGUACCCAGGCGGGCUGCCUCUUGCCCAUAGAUGGACUGUUCACACAGCUAUUAAUGGCAGCGGCAGCAUUCCUGGGCCCAGGAGCCGGGCCAAUAAGCUUCCUAGCUCAGGCUUUGUGACAAGAAAGUCUGAGGAGCCAGGAAGUGGGAUUUUGUAGGGAAAAGUACUACAGUGCCUCUAGGUCAGAACUCAGCCACCUGGCUUGAAGCAGAUCUUUAUUUAAAUCACUGACGUUUCUAGAGGUAAGGACCAGAGUUCAGUUUUCUGUAUUCCUAACAACAGGGGCAUUUGACUCAUGUUCAGCCUCCCUCUGAAGAAUGAUGAUGUGGAUAUCUACUGAAAUGGAAAGAUGUAAAAAAAAAA